AGGACGAACGCUGGCGGCGUGCUUAACACAUGCAAGUCGAGCGGUGAUCCUCCUUCGGGAGGUGAUCAGCGGCGAACGGGUGAGUAACACGUGGGCAACCUGCCCCUCACACUGGGAUAACCUCGGGAAACCGGGGCUAAUACCGGAUACGACCUCGAGCGGCAUCUCUUGAGGUGGAAAGCUCCGACGGUGAGGGAUGGGCCCGCGGCCUAUCAGCUUGUUGGUGGGUAAUGGCCUACCAAGGCGACGACGGGUAGCCGG
RNAcentral lists this ribosomal RNA (261 nucleotides) under uncultured bacterium. Its description in RNAcentral is "partial small subunit ribosomal RNA". It matches the Rfam family "Bacterial small subunit ribosomal RNA", at positions 26 to 290 of the family's 1533-position model. The record is from RNAcentral.